Molecule: transfer RNA, 84 nt
Filed under: Teyleria tetragona
Lineage: Eukaryota; Viridiplantae; Streptophyta; Magnoliopsida; Fabales; Fabaceae
Description: tRNA-Tyr
Source: RNAcentral
UACUUAUUAUUUGAUUAUUAUGACUGGAAUAAAAAUAAACAAUUUCGAAAUCGAAAUGAUUAAUAAAAAAUUUCUAUGGAAUUU